This 889-nucleotide long non-coding RNA is filed under the name Capra hircus (goat). RNAcentral describes it as "lncRNA (ENSCHIG00000004286.1)". The record is from RNAcentral. Lineage: Eukaryota; Metazoa; Chordata; Mammalia; Artiodactyla; Bovidae.
GGCUAAUAGCUGGGGAUCUCAAGCUGUACAACAAUGGAUCAAAAAUAGAAGGCUCAUCGUGGUUGAUAUAUUUAGAGGCUGAUGUUUUUCUUUUAUAAUUUUAGGAGAGAGAUGUUCCCGGGCACAUUGUGACUCCUCUCUGUGAACUGACACGGGGUGUUUUUAUAGAGGACUCACGGGUGGGGUGACUCUGAAGUCAUUGCCAAAGGAAGAUGACAAUGAUUAUCCUGAAGGUGAGACGAGAAAGAGCUGCUCCACGGUCAAGGUUGUGAACAACAAAGGAACGGUUAUCCUUUUAGGGUCUUCCUCCUCCCGGCUUUUGAGGACAAAGAUGAAUUAUUUUUAAAAAGAAGCCAGUAUGGAGACACCUGAACAGUGAGAGUGGUUCCACCAGACUCCUCCUUAGGCAGUACGCUCAGCAUCGCAGCAUCAGGCCACGGUGGCUUUGAACUAUGUCUCACAAGAAGAGUUCUGAGACAUCGACUCGCCUCCUCUCCCCUCCGCAAGUUCACAGCUCAGGAAACAGAGGCCCCGGGGGAGGAGACAGGCUUACUAAAGCGCACAGAGCGACUGAGAACGUCUGAUCCCAGGCACCCCCGCUGCUCCUUCUUGGCACACCUCGGCUGUAUUUACACAGCGUGCACAGCCGCGCGGCUGUGUUUGUGUUUUCCCCGGUCCUGAGAAAAAGCCCACCAAGCUGCCAGAUGUGCGGAGCUCAAGGGAGCCUGAGGAAGUGUUUUGCCAGCGACGAGAAGCAGGCCUGGUCUGGGUGUAAUCGCUCCUUCGCAUCAGCCUCGCCUUUCCGCCCGCAGGAGAUAAGAAAUCGGAAUGGAGGAAACUGACAGGCAAGCACGCACCCUGCACCCUGAAAAUGGUUCCCUGUGCCCUC